UAUAUAUUCCCUCCGUCCAACAAAAGAUGUCUCAAGUUUGUCAAAAUUUGGAUGUAUCUAGACAUGACUUAAUGUAUAGAUGCAUUCAAAUUUAAUUAAAGUUAAAACAUCCUUUGUUGGACGGAGAAAUAUACU
Brachypodium distachyon (stiff brome) is the source of this 135-nucleotide non-coding RNA. The record is from Rfam. Lineage: Eukaryota; Viridiplantae; Streptophyta; Magnoliopsida; Poales; Poaceae.